Molecule: non-coding RNA, 299 nt
Organism: Pelobates cultripes (western spadefoot toad)
Lineage: Eukaryota; Metazoa; Chordata; Amphibia; Anura; Pelobatidae
Source: the annotation of a GenBank genome assembly
GUGACGUGCAACGAACAUACAUAUUACAGGCCAAAGAUCUCACACUACAGAAUGGAUGUAUUUUAUGUGACAAGAGAGUUAUGGACCAUAAUAGGUUACGUCAAGCCAUGUUAAAACUCCAUCAUGAAGAUCACCCUGACAUUGUCAGAAUAAAACAUAAGGCUAUGGGUCAUGUUUGGCGGCUGUCCUUUUAUAAAGACAUUGAGGACUACGUGCUGUACAACCAUGGGACCGCUAGGUGCUGUACAACCAUGGGAUUUGCCUAAUACAUCUGUGGAGAGACUACAUUUGGACUUUCC